Long non-coding RNA from Arachis ipaensis, 367 nucleotides. RefSeq lists it as uncharacterized. The record is from RefSeq and is a predicted model, not a curated record. NCBI's taxonomy places the organism in Eukaryota, Viridiplantae, Streptophyta, Magnoliopsida, Fabales, Fabaceae.
GACUAAUAGGGUUCACUAUUCAUAUUCUUUCAAAGAAGCAAGAGAACACAAAGUGAUUUUGGUAGAAUGACUACUACUAAUGCUGCUCCAAAGUUUCUUUUGUGCAUUCUUCUCGUGGCUGCGCUUUUUACUUCAGGUGCAAAAAGUGACACAACGGAUAGGACUGCAAUAAUGGAUUGCGAUGAGAAUACAAAACACUGUGAUAUUCAAGAUUGCAGCAAUUUCUGUACCGUAACUAAACAUUUUCAAGCUGGUCAGUGUAAUCCUAAAAGAGGGUGUUGCUGCUAUAGUAACAAUAGGUUAACUUAAGUGCACUUUUCAUCAUGUUUGUUUGUUCAUAUGUAUUUUGAACAAACACAUGUUUUGU